GCCGGGUGUGGUAGCACACACCUGUAGUCCCAGCUACUUGGGGGGCUGAGGCGAGAGGAUCGCUUGAGCCCAGGAGAUUGAGGCUGCAGUGAGCUGUGCUUGUGCCACUGCACUCUAGCCUGGGUGACAAAGUGAGACCCUGUCUCAA
RNAcentral lists this signal recognition particle RNA (148 nucleotides) under Chlorocebus sabaeus (green monkey). RNAcentral describes it as "Metazoan signal recognition particle RNA". It matches the Rfam family "Metazoan signal recognition particle RNA". From Rfam's summary of the family: The signal recognition particle (SRP) is a universally conserved ribonucleoprotein. It is involved in the co-translational targeting of proteins to membranes. Lineage: Eukaryota; Metazoa; Chordata; Mammalia; Primates; Cercopithecidae. The record is from Rfam by way of RNAcentral.